CCGGUUUCCCAAUAGCGAUGGAAUUUAGGCUUACUAGUGUUUUAACAAUGCAUCGUAAAAAUAACUUCACUCCCGUUUCCCAUGACACCACGCAGUGCACUCGUUACAAAGUGAUAGCUUGCUGUGUGUGUUGGCAGUCAAUGUUAAUAUUUUAUCUCUGUUAGCUCAUUGCACAUUUUAUUGUGUUGCACAUUUUCUUCUGUUCCACUGAAUGCUGUUUUGAUGAGUAACUAAAUUUGUUUUCAGAAUGUAGUUGGGACAGAGAGCCCAGCAGGCUACACAACAACACAGCUGGAAAACUACUCAAAACGUAUACAAAUAACUUAAAAAAGAUUUGACUGCUAAAUGGAACUUAACUGGCUAAUUUUAGCUAGCUAACAUUAACGUAGCUCUCUGGCUAAUCCUCCAUGGACAUGGAAUCUUCGAGCUUGGAUGGAAGGAUGGAGAAGUGAACAAAGGGAAUGAGUACAGAAGUUAUCCAGCAUGCUGACUAAGACAUUUAAAUAGCCUAUGUUUUGCUAUCUAUCUCUUUCUCUAUCUCUCUCCGUCUAUCUGCCUGACAGCCAGAUUGCUGAGGGUCAACAUAGUCAAUGUACUUGCUAGGCUAAGUCUAACUUAGUGAAGACCUUAGGUGAUGGUUAAUCGGGAUUCUUCUGUCUUUACAGUUCCUGAAACAUGUCAAUGACCGGAUGCAUGGCUUCUACAGCAGUGCUUGGCCACCCACUCAGUUACCAGGGACCUAUUCUGCCACAUCUCAGGGAAAGGAGACAGCAGAACCACCCCUCCCUAAAUCCAUAGUCAUUGAAAGACCAUACCUCAGGACUACCUGGCGUGAUGACUCCUUGCUGUCCCAAGUCCACCUGGCCAUGCUGAUGCUCCAGUUUCAACUGUUCUGCCUGCGGCUAUGGAACCCUGACCUGUUCACCGGACGUGCUACCUGUCCCAGACCUGCUGUUUUCAACUCUCUAGAGACAGCAGGAGCGGUGGAGAUACUCAGAAUUAUCUGCUAUGAAAAGUCAACUGACAUUUAAUCCUGAGGGGCUGACCUGUUGCACUCUCGACAACCACUGUGAUUAUUAUUAUUUGACCCUGCUGGUCAUCUAUGAACACUUGAACAUCUUGGCCAUGUUCUGUUAUAAUCUCCACCCGGCACAGCCAGAAGAGGACUGGCCACCCCUCAUAGCUUGGUUCCUCUCUUAGUUUCUUCCUAGGUUCUGACCUUUCUAGGGAGUUUUUCCUUUCCACCGUGCUUCUACACCUGCAUUGCUUGCUGUUUGGGGUUUUAGGCUGGGUUUCUGUACAGCACUUUGAGAUAUCAGCUGAUGUAAGAAGGGCUAUAUAAAUACAUUUGAUUUGAUUUGACAUCCAAGCUGUUACAUAUCUAGGCUUUCCAAAAUGUCACGUUCAUCAGUGUGUUGGUGUUUUGACAGAAACCGGUAUUCCAAAUCAGAGUUCCGAGUUUGAUUAUAUUCUGUAGAAUAGGGACUAACAACACAGUUUUAAAAUAACUAUCAUAAAACAUUACAUAAGAUUUAUGGAUUGCGUUAUCAAUGGUUUCUGUGUUAUACUUCUAAAGCCUUAUGGUUAUGCCUCUCUCAAAGCUCAUAAAACAUCUUAGAUGCACACAAGCACCAUUGUCAACCCAAAUGUAGAGAGUAGAAUAUAAAAUACAAUCUUUGUAGAGUUCCAGUCAAAGGUUUGUACACACCUACUCAUUCCAGGCCUUUUCUUUAUUUUUUACUACACUGUAAAAUAAUAGUGAAGACAUCAAAACUAUGAAAUAACACAUAUGGAAUCGUGUAGUAACCAAAAAAGUGUUAAACAAAUCAAAAUAUAUUUUAUAUUUGAGAUUCUUCAAAUAGCCACUCUUUGCCUUGAUGACAGCUUUGCACACUCUUGACAUUCUCUCAACCAGCUUCACCUGGAAUGCUUCUCUAACAGUCUUGAAGGAGUUCCCACACAUGCUGAGCACUUGUUGGCUGCUUUUCCUUCACUCUGCAGUCCAACUCAUCCCAAACCAUCUCAAUUUGGUUGAGGUCGGGGGAUUGUGGAGGCCAGGUCAUCUGAUGCAGCACUCCAUCACUCUCCUUCUUGGUAAAACUGUUGGGUCAUUGUCCUGUUGAAAAACAAAUGAUAGUCCCCCUAAGCGCAAACCAGAUGUGAUGGCAUAUCGCUACAGAAUUCUGUGGUAGCCAUGCUGGUUAAGUGUGCCUUAAAAGCACCCCCACAGCAUGAACACCUCCUCCUCCAUGCUUUACGGUGGGAAAUACACAUGUGGAUAUCAUCCUUUCACCCACACCACAUCUCACAAAGACACUGCAGUUGGAACCAGAAAUCUCCAAUUUGGACUCCAGAACAAAUGACAAAUCUCCACCGGUCUAAUGUCCAUUAAUCGUGUUUCUUGGCCCAAGCAAGUCUCUUCUUAUUAUUAGUGUCCUUUAGUAGUGGUUUCUUUGCAGCAAUUCGACCAUGAAGGCCUGAUUCACACAGUCUCCUCUGAACAGUUGAUGUUGAGAUGCGCCUGUUACUUGAACUCUGUGAAGCAUUUAUUUGGGAUGCAAUUUCUGAUGCUGGUAACUCAUAGUGCUUGAUGGUUUUUGCAACUGCACAUGAAGAAACCUUCAUAGUUCUAUUGACUGACCUUCAUGUCUUAAAGUAAUGAUGGACUGUUGUUUCUCUUUGCUUAUUUGAGCUGUUCUUGCUAUAAAAUGGACUUGGUCUUUUACCAAAUAGGGCUAUCUUCUGUAUACACAACUGAUUGGCUCAAAAACAUUAAAAAGGAAAGAAAUUCCACAUAUUAACUUUUAAGAAGGCACCUCUUAAAUUAAAUGCAUUUCAUGUGACUACCUCAUGAAGCUGAUUGAGAGAAGGCCAGUUGUGCAAAGCUGUUAUCAAGGCAAAAGGUGGCUAUUUGAAUAAUCUCAAAUAUAACAUAUAUUUUGAUUUGUUAAACACUUUUUUGGUUACUACAUGAUUCCAUGUCUGUUAUUUCAUUGUUUCAUAGUUUCAUGAUGUCUUCACUAUUAUUCCACAAUGUAGAAAAUAAUAAAAAUAAAGAAAAACCCUUGAAUGAGUAGGUGUUCUAGAACUUUUGACCGGAAGUGUAAGUGGCAUGUGAACACAAAUUACACUCAUGCCAAUUAAAAACUAUGGAAGAAAACGUCCCUCUCUGCAGGGCUUCCUCCUCGGUUGCGUCCUGCCAAUGCAGAUACCAGCCAAUUCCAGGCCGCCAGGUGGGUAGGGCUGCCGCACUGCUUCCGAGUCACGGCAGCAAAUUAUAACAUAAGUACCUGUGAGGGCAUUUUCUGUUAAACCUUACUAAUGCUUGUAUACUAAAAUAUCCUUAUUUAAGCCUAGGCAUUGGACUUGAGAUUGUUUUAAGAAACUAACUCAUAUAAGAUAGAAAAGUGUGUGUGCAUUAAUAAGAGGCCUGUUCUAACUGUUCUGUAUGUGUAGUAUAACCCCAUGAUAUCUGGGAGCUCAACCAAGAGCUGACUGAAACGACUCAUGUUUUGUGUGUGUGACCAGUACAACCGUACAUCAUCUUGGCCAGCAGUCAAAGGCACUUGCUUGCCCAACUUGGGGGAACUGUUGAGCUACUGUUAGAGGAAGUAUGCCUGGAGUGACUUCCUGUCAUUCUGGUCCUUGUUGUCCUUACUCAGUUGAGACAACUGGGUGAAAAGGUUACUUCAGUCUGUCUCCCCUCACACACACACAUACAUAGGGUCACGUGUUUUGCAGAUGCUUGCAUGGGGUAGCUUGACUAAAUAAAUGCUCCUGUUGUCACGUUCUGACCUUAGUUCUUUUAUUACAUCUUUGUUGUAGUAUGGUCAGGGCGUGAGCUGGGUGGGUAGUCUAUGUUCUUUUUUCUAUGUUGGGUUUUGUGUUUGGCCUGGUGUGGUUCUCAAUCAGAGGCAGGUGUCGUUCGUUGUCUCUGAUUGAGAAUCAUACUUAGGUAGCCUUUUCUCACCUGUGUUUUGUGGGUGAUUGUUUUCUGUUAUGUGUCUGUCACCUUACAGAACUGUUUCGUUUCGUUCUCCUUUGUUAUUUUGUUUAGUGUUCUCUGUUUAGUAAAUAAUAUGAACACUUACCACGCCGCGAUUUGUUUCUCACCUCAUUCCAACGACGAGCGUUACACCUGUACUAUUUGUACAGCAGGCACUCACUCAAUUUCACCUGCGUGGGUGGGGCGACCAGCCUCCUUAUUAUAUGUUUCUAAUAAAAGUAAUACCUUGAUUGACUA
Molecule: long non-coding RNA, 4243 nt
Organism: Oncorhynchus nerka (sockeye salmon)
Lineage: Eukaryota; Metazoa; Chordata; Actinopteri; Salmoniformes; Salmonidae
Exons: 3
Source: RefSeq, a predicted model, not a curated record